GAGUUUGAUCCUGGCUCAGAAUCAACGCUGGCGGCGUGCCUAACACAUGCAAGUCGAACGAGAAAGUGGAGCAAUCCAUGAGUAAAGUGGCGCACGGGUGAGUAACACGUGACUAACCUACCCUUGAGUGGGGGAUAACCUAGGGAAACCUGGGCUAAUACCGCAUAAUACCUUCGGGUCAAAGGAGCAAUUCGCUUAAGGAGGGGGUCGCGGCCGAUUAGUUAGUUGGCGGGGUAAUGGCCCACCAAGACUAUGAUCGGUAUCCGGCCUGAGAGGGCGCACGGACACACUGGAACUGAAACACGGUCCAGACUCCUACGGGAGGCAGCAGUGGGGAAUUUUGCGCAAUGGGGGAAACCCUGACGCAGCAACGCCGCGUGGAGGAUGAAGUCCCUUGGGACGUAAACUCCUUUCGAUCGGGACGAUUAUGACGGUACCGAGAGAAGAAGCCCCGGCUAACUUCGUGCCAGCAGCCGCGGUAAUACG
This 486-nucleotide ribosomal RNA is filed under the name uncultured eubacterium WR1108. Its description in RNAcentral is "bacterial SSU rRNA". It matches the Rfam family "Bacterial small subunit ribosomal RNA", at positions 9 to 527 of the family's 1533-position model. The record is from RNAcentral.